RNAcentral lists this ribosomal RNA (952 nucleotides) under Leuconostoc citreum. RNAcentral describes it as "bacterial SSU rRNA". It matches the Rfam family "Bacterial small subunit ribosomal RNA", at positions 383 to 1328 of the family's 1533-position model. Lineage: Bacteria; Bacillati; Bacillota; Bacilli; Lactobacillales; Lactobacillaceae. The record is from RNAcentral.
CUGAUGGAGCACGCCGCGUGUGUGAUGAAGGCUUUCGGGUCGUAAAGCACUGUUGUAUGGGAAGAAAUGCUAAAAUAGGGAAUGAUUUUAGUUUGACGGUACCAUACCAGAAAGGGACGGCUAAAUACGUGCCAGCAGCCGCGGUAAUACGUAUGUCCCGAGCGUUAUCCGGAUUUAUUGGGCGUAAAGCGAGCGCAGACGGUUGAUUAAGUCUGAUGUGAAAGCCCGGAGCUCAACUCCGGAAUGGCAUUGGAAACUGGUUAACUUGAGUGUUGUAGAGGUAAGUGGAACUCCAUGUGUAGCGGUGGAAUGCGUAGAUAUAUGGAAGAACACCAGUGGCGAAGGCGGCUUACUGGACAACAACUGACGUUGAGGCUCGAAAGUGUGGGUAGCAAACAGGAUUAGAUACCCUGGUAGUCCACACCGUAAACGAUGAAUACUAGGUGUUAGGAGGUUUCCGCCUCUUAGUGCCGAAGCUAACGCAUUAAGUAUUCCGCCUGGGGAGUACGACCGCAAGGUUGAAACUCAAAGGAAUUGACGGGGACCCGCACAAGCGGUGGAGCAUGUGGUUUAAUUCGAAGCAACGCGAAGAACCUUACCAGGUCUUGACAUCCUUUGAAGCUUUUAGAGAUAGAAGUGUUCUCUUCGGAGACAAAGUGACAGGUGGUGCAUGGUCGUCGUCAGCUCGUGUCGUGAGAUGUUGGGUUAAGUCCCGCAACGAGCGCAACCCUUAUUGUUAGUUGCCAGCAUUCAGUUGGGCACUCUAGCGAGACUGCCGGUGACAAACCGGAGGAAGGCGGGGACGACGUCAGAUCAUCAUGCCCCUUAUGACCUGGGCUACACACGUGCUACAAUGGCGUAUACAACGAGUUGCCAACCUGCGAAGGUGAGCUAAUCUCUUAAAGUACGUCUCAGUUCGGACUGCAGUCUGCAACUCGACUGCACGAAGUCG